Long non-coding RNA from Hyla sarda, 700 nucleotides. RefSeq lists it as uncharacterized. The record is from RefSeq and is a predicted model, not a curated record. The transcript has 5 exons. NCBI's taxonomy places the organism in Eukaryota, Metazoa, Chordata, Amphibia, Anura, Hylidae.
GUGCUUUUCUCUUCCUUGAAAUUCUGAGCCUCCUGAAAGCUUACAGAAUCCUCAUUAAGUAAAAGAGAGAAGAGUGUCCACAUGCCACAAGUUACAUUUCCAGUCCACUAAGGAAGGCUUUGCUCAAAAGCUGUGACUCUAGUUGUCAAAAACAAUGAAUAAAACAUGGAAACACAGAGUGCGAUGCCAGAAACAAAAUUUGGAACAAUCAGUCUAAGGAAAUCACUCACCAUUGUCUUCUUGGUGGUAAUGAGAAAGAUCCCGAGAGAACUGCCAGCAGGGAGAGCGAAACAGCUCACUCCAUGACAGACCCGGUACUGACUACCAGCAGCUCCCAGAUCCUGGACACAAGAACCCAGUUCUAUAAUACAAGCUAUAAACAGUGUUGUGUCUGCUAGCGCAACAAAAUAAGCCAACUAGAUUUUCUUCUUCGUUAUCUACUGUUCUCCACUUCACUGAAGAUUCCGAUCCACGUCGGGUUUUGUUUCAAGUUCUGUUUCUGCUAUGAACUGUUUUCUGCUUCCAGUCAAAAGAAGAGGAAGAUAUCACAUCAGCUGUCAUCUAUAUGAUCUAUACUGGACUCUGAUUGGAUAAUAUGUAUGGUAGCAUGUUUGAUUACGCCAUGCUCAUGUUUAAAGUUUUUUCUUCAUGUAUUACUACACUUUCUUUUGCUGCUGAGUUUAAAAGUAAAAAAAGUAUA